Molecule: long non-coding RNA, 8919 nt
Organism: Onychostoma macrolepis
Lineage: Eukaryota; Metazoa; Chordata; Actinopteri; Cypriniformes; Cyprinidae
Exons: 3
Source: RefSeq, a predicted model, not a curated record
UCUCCACAUUUUUGACAUGAUACCGCCUCUUUUGGCUGCUUGAUUUUACAAAUUACAGCAUGUUAUAACAAUAUUCUUGUGGAUGAUUGUAAUCGACUCCAGGUAAACCAGUUUCUUCUUUAACAAGGGGGAGACAUUGACAUGUUGCUUAAAUAUAAAAUAUAUGUAAUAUUCAUAUAGCUAUUGCAGCCUAUUUAGCAAUCGGUAUGUCAAUUAAACAUGAUAAAAUAUUUUUGUUUUUUUAAUGAAAUGAAUUUUUUUUUUUUUUUUUCAUCAUUAGCAAUUCGUGACCUUCUAGAUAAGAGCGAGGAAUUAUUCAUUUGAACCUGUUCGAUUUCCAGUUAUGUUUUUGGAUAAGGUUUGCAUUAAAGAAUCAUAAAGAAUUUUUAUUAAAAUGAAAAACAAAACAUCAGAUUUCAGAUCUAAUCUGACAAUUGUGCAUCAUAACCAAUUUUUACGCAUAGAUUUGAGAAGCAUAACCCACAGACAAUUUCUUUCUUUAUUUCUCUUUUGUUACGUAUUAAAGCAUCUUAUCCAGCAGGGGGCGCUGCCUUCAAUGCUUCACCUUCUCUCCAACGCCAACUUGUCUCUUCAGUAUGAUUUGCCAAAUCAAUUGAUAAAGCUCAUGAAUUCUCUCUGUAGGCAACUAAAAAUAUCGACUGCUCAUCCUUGCAUCACUUCUCUCGACGCGUUGACAAGCUCUGCGCUAAUUCUGAGUGCUCAGGUGAGAUUUAUAUGACGGAUGGAGCAUAUGCCGCUGUGAGGUACACACGCGCGCGCGGGCGCGCACACACAUUAUUUCCCGUCACAGAAUUGAAGCAGACCAGCUGUGAAUGUCAGUGGCAAUCUCGCACAUAGUAACACUGAUAAGCAAGACAGAAAUUGGCACUGAGCCUUCCUCCCACAUACGGAGCCAUUUGAUGCUAAUAAGUGUCAGAUCUUAUAGGCUACAUUUAUUCUCCAUUGUUUUGUAGGAUGUCUUUGUGAAUUAUGGCUUGAAAUACUUUGUUUUCCACUAAAAUACUCUUCUUUGUGUGUAUAUAAACAUGUCUAUCUAUCUGUCUACAGUAUUAUUACUGUAUUCUCAACAGUUUUGUAACAUGUGCACAUUGAUAUAUAAUAAAGCAAGAGCACAAAAAGAACAAAAAACAUAAUUUAAAAUGAAAAUAUCAAUGAAAUUCAAGUGGUUAUUUAAAUAUUUUAGGUAUGUUGCUGGAUAUGGUCAUGUGAUAUGCUCAGGUUAUAUAAAGAAAAGUGACAAAAAACACAGGUAAAAAAGAAAGAAAGAAACUGUUACUGUAUAUACCAACACGAUGUGUGAUUUCAUCCCCAGUCUCCUGUAUUGAUCUUUACAAAGUUAAGAAAUAAUUUUUUGUGAUAUGUUUGAUCCAUCCAUCCACUCACCCAUCUAUCCAUCAAUCUAUCAUCUAUCUAUGGUGUCUAGCCAUCUAUUGACCUUUUUCUGCUAUGCAUUUUAAACUAGAGAUCAGUGCGGAUGUUUAUGAUUGAUGUGUAUGAUAUGGACGUGACACUGCUGUGACAGACAUGCCUUGCUCUGGGCAGACAACCUAAUUAAUCGCCAGGGACCGUGAUUGCUGUAAAUCAGUUUGCAAAACAGAGACCUUAGGCCUCUCCGGUAGAGGAAAAACAAGGAGCAUGGAGAAGGAAAACAGAAUCAAGCCCUUUGUGUAGCGCUGGAAGAAAAGUGCACACUUGCGUUAGGGACGGCAACAAAACAAAAAGGCCAUGAAAUAUGAAAGAGCCGCCUUUGUGUCAUUUGAAUAAUGGGGAUAAUUACCCUCUGUCCGGCAAAGCACCUGCAUUUGAAAUAAGCCUUUGAUAGCAACUUAAAUCCAGCGAGAUGGUGCUGUUUGAUUAAGAUUCAAGCAGACGCCGUCUCUGCCUUUACAGCAGCUGGAGAGAUCACUGUGUCAACAGACUGACUGCACACCUCUGAAUGCAUAUGCGAUAAUAUACAUAAAAAAAAAAAAAACAGAGGGUGAUGUAACUUUUGCCUUGCUGCAGACAGUAUUUUGGGGGUUUAAUAAACCUCAUCUCAUUAUCAAAGUGCAGAUAAUGUGAGUCUUUAUUAUUAUUAUUUGCUAAUUCUAUCCAGACCUGAGACUUUCAAAGCAGGCAGGACGUUGUGUGUCUACAGAUAUCUCAGUAUAGGAGAUAAACAGAUAGUCUUUAAGCACCUACAAAGCUAUCUCUUUUUAAUUUGGUUGCACUGCCAGGAAUCCAUAGAUGAGCAGCGUCUCUCAUUAAACCACAGUCCUGACAUUGUUCGCUAGGAAUGGCUUUUUCUAUGUCAGUCUGAUAGCAGAAAUUGCAAGAACAUUGUAACACGAAGGCAAUGAAAUUGCUCAGAAAGUAGACAUGUUUUGUUACUUUUUAUUCUCAAAGCAUUGAAGGCAAUACAGUAUACUGACAAAGAUCAUUGUUGCUUCGGGCUUGAAUCCCACACCACAAUGUGCUCAAUAUGGACUCUUUGAUUUCAUUUUGACCAUGGACAGGUCAAUUUGGCUUUAGGUUCAGAAUCCAGAAUGGAUCCAUGCUGUAUCUGUAACUCUUGCUGAGAAUGCACAAUAUACAGUAUAUUUGAGUUCUUUUUAUUAUUAUAAUAGAGAUCGCAUAGAAGAAUGUGGUUUCCAGUUAGUUGUGGAAUCCUCGUUCAUGCAUCUCCAGUGUUGGUGAGGGUCAUAGAUGAUCCUUUAUCGAUGCUUUUAUUAGACAGCUGAGUAUAAAUACAUUCAAGCUUUUCUUUAGUCUGCAUUAUUAUGGUAAUCUAUAAUCAGUAAUCUAUCGCUUGCCCUUUUCUCUUUACGACAGCCAGCUAUGUGCCACUCUGAAUCUGCCACGGUAAACAUCAAAAUUUUGCAGGGCAGCUGGAAUUGACAGAAAUGGAGCAUUUGCCUCCAGGACAGGAUAAUGAAUAUUUGUGGAUUUUUUUUUAAGAAAUUUGGACAAUAUUGCUGCUGCAUCUCUGUGCUGUUCCUUGAUGCUGAGGCUCAAAAGAAAUAUCAGGGAUAAAAUUUCACAAUUUGGCUGUGCUUCACUCAUUUUGGAAAAAUAACUGGUUGUGAGGAUCUGAAAGAAAUACUGCACUGAUUCAUAAACAGGGAAAUAAUGUAAAAAUGUAAAUGAAUAAAUUAAAUAAUAAAAUACAAUUGUCACAAGAUUAACCUCAUUGAUUUAUUAAUUAUAAUAAAGCAUGUUUUGUAUUGACAGCCAUAGUGUUACUAGUUUUCUCAUUAGGAUUUUACAUCUAAACAUUACUCUCAUGGUGGACAGUUAAAAAAAGAUUCAGUUGAAAAUCGAAAGUAAAUCUUUUCCAGCUAUUUUAUGCAUAUUUUUUUUAAUGUAUGUUUGUAUUUAUUUAUGUUACUGUAUACACUAGCUUUCAAGGUUUGGGAGCAGUAUGUUUUUUUUUAUUUUGAAUGUUUUUAUGCUUAGCAAGGCUGCGUUUAUUAUAGGAAUCAUCCGAUUUGGGGGUCCGAGGCAUCAAAAGGUUCAAAACCCCCUGAUCUAGAAUCCAGUCACUUUCCUAAUUGCCGGCUCGCUUAAAAGAGGCCAAAAUCUAAAGCAGACUGGUAAUUUCAUAACAUUUAGCUUUGAGUUAGAGAAAUGGGUGACACAUGUAAACAAAAGUUAUGGAUUUCAGCCACAUCCCAUAGAUGAAAGCCUUAUUUUUAAGAUCAAAGGCAGUUCCUUUCAUUUAAAAGGUGUACUUCUCCACAAAUUGGAACUCUUGUCUCGGCAACCUUCCUGUGAUGUUUUAAAUCAAAGAUUUCAAGAACCCUAUGUCAUGUCCAAACAAAUAUCUUUAGGCUCGGCGUGUAAAUUGAGGUCACUGUUCUAUACUCAAAAGCGGCAUGAAUGUUGGACAGAUAACAGGGUUUGCUUUCUGAAGGCUGAAGUGUGUUUGUGAUAUGUGUGUCACAGCAGCGGGUGAUAAUGCCACCUCCCAAAGCUGGCCAGGCAAACAUCAGCAUAGCGCCUUAUCUCUGAUUUUGCGCCACCACACCGCAGCUUUGGAUCCAAAUAGUUCUACUGCUGAAUGUGGAAAUAAAUAAAGAAAUAAACAUUCUUUUGAGCGGAAGAGGCUUAGGAGAGAUGAAUUAGGCUUUCUUGGAUAAACUGUCAGUCUGGUUUAUCAUGCUACAGAGCUGUAUCUAUUUCUGCUUGUCAACAAAUUUCGCUCUGAUUGGCGGUGACAGUCUUAAAUUUAGAGUUAAAUCCAACAAAGCCUCUUGUCCUCAAGUUAUGGGGCAAUGCUUACGUCAAACGCUGAAAAUGCAACAUGUUUCAAAGGGCUGACGAGAAAUGACACAGAAAUCUUUGUUUAAGAUUUCGUUUAACAAUCUGUAGGUUGGCGUGUUGUUUCCCAAAGGUAUUCUCUUUCUAUUUUACUCUUAUAAUUGGCAGAGGAGUCUGGAACAGCAAUUUCAGAAGUCUCUUUGAACUUUCAGGUUUAAAAGAAUUUCAGUGUGACUUUGUUGUAAUACACCAGCAAUCUUUUCUUGCAGGGAAAAUGUUCCUUUUGUCUGGAAUUUUUUUGCAGUUUAUUUUAAUAUUUGGGCUGACACUUGAAAGUUUUCAACUUUAAAAUCAUUUUAAAUGAUUUUAAAAUAUCUUUUGUAGGGAAAAUACCUUUGUAUCUGUUUUUAAGUUUUCAUCUUUAAAAUAAUUUAAUAAUUAAAAAAACAUUCUAAAUGAUACUUUAUCUGCAAUUUUUUUAAAUGUUUAUUUUAAUACCAGGGCAGACAAUAUAAAAUGAUUAUGUGAAAUGAAAUAGUCCUAAAAUAAGCCUUUAAAAUUCCUAGAGAAAAUAUUAUUUCCUGCAAUAUAUAUAUAUAUAUAUAUAUAUAUAUAUAUAUAUAUAUAUACAUAUACAUAUACAGUUGAGGUCAAAAGUUUACACCCCCCUUUCAGAAUCUGCAAAUUGUUAAUUAUACAAAAUGCAUGUUAUUGUUUAUUUAGUACUGACCUACUGACGUUUUGUGAAGUGAUAGUUGUUCAUGAGCCCCUUGUUUGUCCUGAACAGUUAAACUGCCUGCUGUUCUUCAGAAAAAUCCUUCAGGUCCCACAAAUUCUUUGGUUUUCCAGCAUUUUUGUAUAUUUUACAAUAAUUGACUAAUUGAAUAUAUUUUUUGUCUUGCAGAGGAAAGUGUCUUGUCAAUAAAGGAAAUGGAAAAAAAUAUACAUUCAUGUCUAUUUUCUUCCAACAUGGAGUUAUUUAGUUGGCAUUCAUUAUCAUCGUCUGUGAUGACAUCAAUCAGCCGAAGGGCAAGGUAAGAGCAUCCUCAGCUGUCUCAAAUAACAGGUCUUCUCUCGGUUUGAUUGCAGUCAUCUCGUAGCGCCACAAUAGCAGCUGUGUGCACUGCGUCUGUCUUUGAGAGAAGGAUCUCUGUUAUCUGUCAUGUCACAACUCUGGAGUCCAUUCUCCAUAAUACAAUUUGCACAUAUUGCAAUUUUCGAAGCAUCGUUGCAGCAAAAGUAAGUUGCAAGCAUAUAGCAUAUAGGUGACGCAUGUCGAUUUUUCAAGAGCGUCAUUUAGAAUAAUGUGGGAGUUUGUGUCCUCUUCAGAACAGAAAAUUACAGCGGUGAUUCAAGCCUUUUAUCUUGGCGAACUGUGUGGACUUCCUUCCAGAAAUGACGGCAGAAUGAUGUGUGUUGUCCAUUGGAGAAAUGAUUAAGGAUCUGUUGAUUUGGGCAUCUGUAUCUCAGGUAGUUGAAUGCCGCUGACCACAUCACUCAGUGAGGCGGUGAGUGGAUGUGACGUGCACCAGAGGGAAAGAACAGAAGACCAAAUCAAUAUUCACUCAUACUGGACACAACUUUCUGAAGAAGCUUCAAAACAACCCUCAGUCUGGGAUAAGAGACAUGAUGUGCGUCAGUCAGAGCGAAGAAUCUGCCAGCCGUCAGCUCAAGCACCAAUCAUGACCUGCCAUUCACAACAUCCUGAAAUCUUCAAUGUUCAGGCAUCACGUGCUUCCCUAUAAGGUACAGUGAGGUCCAAAUUCUUAUACCACUAGUAGAGAUGCUUGUAUUUGUAUUUUUAAAAUAAUUUCUCAUUACAAGUAUAUUUAAUUUUCAGUCUGAAAUUUUAUGUGUGGGAUUAAAAUUAAUUUUAAGUCUUAGUUUUUGGUGUCUUUUCAGGGCUCACGUCUAUGGUUAAAAUGGUUAAUCCCAGGCUCAUUCGCAAUACGUGUCUAUAAAUACAUUUCUGCAACACCGUCAUUAUGUACCUUACUGCAUGUUUCGCGGCAGUUUCAAAGUGAAACAUCCAGUGAGUGGCGCUAAAAUGCGGGUUAAAACAUGACCCUGGCACGUAUUUGUUACGUUGAUAUAGGCACGUAUUGCUGUUUGUAUUACGUUGCUUCAGGUACAUAUUCAAAUAUCCGUAAUUCAAAUAUCCGAUGAGUGUCGCUAAAAGUUAAUUCUCUAUCGUGUUGGAAAUAUCCCCUACGCCAAACCCAACCCUAAACCUACCCGAUAGUGUUAACAAAUGCAAAAGUGAUAUAAAAACGGAUUUGUUGAUGCAGCCAGGCGAUUUUAACUUCCUUUAAACGUCUGAGCUGAGCUGUUUUGUUGAACCGUAGGUUUUUGUUUUGUCUUAUAAAUUGAGCUCUUCAUCUCUCAAGUGCAACACCGUAUCACGUGAGCUACCAAGAAAACCUACGGAAUUAGAAAACUCGUGCAUAUGAAGCUGUGUACAGGUGCAUCUCAAUAAAUUAGAAUGUCGUGAAAAGUUCAUUUUUUCUUGUGUUAUUUCAAAAAGUGAAACUUUCAUAUAUUUUAGAUUAAUUGCAUGUAAAGUAAAACAUUUCAAAAGUUUUUUUUGUUUUAAUUUUGAUGAUUAGAGCUUACAUCUCAUGAAAGUCAAAAAUCAGUAUCUCAAAAUAUUAGAAUAUUUACAUUUGAGUUUCAAUUAAUGACCAUCCCUACAGUAUAAAUUCCAGGUAUCUCUUGUUCUUUGAAACCACAAUAAUGGACUGCUGACUUCGCAAUGAUCCAGAAGACGAACAUUGACGCCCUCCACAAAGAGGGUAAGUCACAGAGGGUCAUUACUGAAAGGUGUGGCUGUUUACAGAGUGCUGUAUCAAAGCAUAUUAAAUGCAAAGUCUGGAAGGAAGAAAUUGGGUAGGAAAAUGUGCACAAGCAACAGGGAUGACCGCAAGCUUGAGAAUACAGUCAAGCAAAGUUGAUUCAAACACUUGGGAGAGCUUCACAAGGAGUGGACUGAAGCUGGAGUCAGUGCAUCAAGAGUCACCACGCUCAGACGUCUUCAGGAAAAGGGCUACCAAGCCACUUCUGAACCAGAGACAACGUCAGAAGCAUCUUACCUGGGCUGUGGAGAAAAAGAACUGGACUGUUGCUCAGUGGUCCAAAGUCCUCUUUUCAGAUGAAAAUCAUUUAGAAACAUAAAAACACAUAAAAGCUUCCAAAGUUUUGGGCCUCUGGUGGGCCACAGAGGUAUUGCAGGGUGCCCAUUGCCUAGGCUAAGUCAAUCCAAUGAACAUUUUCUCUGUUCUGAAAUGUUUUUCUCAUAAUAUCAGUAAAUAAUAUAUCAAAACUAACUUUUGGAGCCUUUGCUUUUUUGGAAGCUCAGUUCUAGUAAGAUUAUAUCAAACAAUAACAUGUGCAAUAAUAAUUUAAAAUGCAACUGAGAAAGAUUUGUGCAUGUCCACAUAUUUAUUCAGUCAAUGAGUGAAUCAACCCACACCUGAACUCCCUUAAUGAACCAUGAGUCAUUUUUCAGUUAUGUCAGUAAUGAACCAUUAACUGUUACUGUGAUGUAUACUAGACUUACAUCAAUCUAUUUAUUAUUUGUUCAUAUAACAUGUUAAAUGCAAACAUUUUGACAACAGGGUUUGGUUGUAAAAAAUAAUAAUAGUAUUCUAUAAUAAAUGUUUGUCAGCAGGAUCUUGUGAAAGUAUGACAUUUUCUCAUGGUCAUUGUGGAAAUUUUGUUUAAUAGUUCUAAAUCAUCAAUAUUUUUUAUUCAAUUUAUGUCAUAGUGUUUCUGUUUUAAUUUUUUUUAUUUUAAAAACUGUUUAUUUCCUGGUUUAAAUGUGAUUUUGAAUUAGACUUUUUACUCCACUUUCAAGCUAUGAAACUCAAGUGGCCAUUCAGUUGUCCUCUUUUAGUUUGUCCAUUGUAUGCCUUAUUUAUUUUAAAGAUUGUAUUCUAUGUCAAGAGCAUCUUCUCUACAGCAAUUUAGACAAACAACACAAUCUCAUUUCACUCUCAUAACAGGAAAAGCAAUUAUUCUUCUGAGCAACAUCUAAGUGGUUUCACACAAGGACCUGUUUUUGUCAUCUAAACACCUUUUUCGUGGCUAAAUGGAUAUUUUCUGGUUAUGUGUCUCCAAUUGCAAGUUUAUAACUCACAAUGUGACUUGGUCUUUGCUUACAAGACAUAUCAAUGUGAUAUUGAAGUCCUGCAGCACCUAACUCUGAUAACCUGCAGUGGCCUCUGAGAGCUUUUUGCACUUUUAUUCCAUUAUUGCUAAGUUCAUACAGACCCACCUGUACAUGGGGAACACACAUGAGUGAUUGUGAGCUGGCUUUAAUCUGUCUCGCCGCGCUGUGCCUGGGGAGGGCUGCAGGUGGCUCAGACCACAUGGAGCCAAUGCCAACAGCACAGCGCUUCCUAACACACAACACCACUCCAGCACUGAACUGUGUGCUUUUCAGUAGCUGCAGAUUUCAGAUAGAACUACAUUCCUUUGAUUAAUUAUUUGACUUUCUGAGUGGUCUGUGCCUACAUGGAAAAAUAUUGAUAUUCCUCGUAGAUGUCUCUUACAUGACUUUUCAACUGCAUAUGAAAAGAGAAGCAAUCGAUGGAUAAUUAAAUAUUAUUGACUAAUCUUUUUCAUUUAUGAUUUCUCGGAUUCUUUUUCCUGCGAGUUGAA